Molecule: ribosomal RNA, 782 nt
Filed under: Gigaspora rosea
Lineage: Eukaryota; Fungi; Glomeromycota; Glomeromycetes; Diversisporales; Gigasporaceae
Description: eukaryotic LSU rRNA
Rfam family: Eukaryotic large subunit ribosomal RNA
Source: RNAcentral
GACCUCAAGUCAUAUGAGAGUACCCGCUGAACUUAAGCAUAUCAAUAAGCGGAGGAAAAGAAACUAACAAGUAUUCCCCUAGUAACGGCGAGUGAAGCGGGAAGAGCACAAAUUUAAAAUCUACCUGGUUUUCAGGUCGAGUUGUAAUUUGAAGAUACGUUUUUGACGUUCAGGGUUGGACUAAAUCCUUUGGGAUAAGGUAUCAUGGAGGGUGAGAAUCCCGUAUAUACCAACCAUAGGGAUGUUAUUUAAUACGUUUCUAAGAGUCGAGUUGUUUGGGAAUGCAGCUCUAAAUGGGUGGUAAAUUUCACCUAAUGCUAAAUAUAAGCGAGAGACCGAUAGCGAACAAGUACAGUGAUGGAAAGAUGAAAAGAACUUUGAAAAGAGAGUUAAAUAGUACGUGAAAUUGUUGAAAGGGAAACGAUUGAAGUCAGUCAUGCCAGUGGGAAUCAACUUAGAGGAAACUCUAGGUGCACUUCUUCGCUUGGCAGGUUAGUGUCGAUUUUGGAUGUCAUAAAAUGACUGGGGGAAGGUAGCUCCUUUGGGAGUGUUAUAGCCCUUGGUAGAUGUGAUGUCUGGAAUCGAGGAUUGCAACGGAUACCCUUUAGGGCUAGUCACCUGAUCUCUAAUUAGUGCUAGAUUACGGACAGCAUGCUGACCGUGAUUUAAUUAUUGGUUAAAAGGUUAGAGUGCACAUAAAUUCGUUAAGGACACUGACGUAAUGGCUUUAAACGACCCGUCUUGAAACACGGACCAAGGAGUCUAACAUGUAUGCGAGUGUU